CUCGAGCAUUUAUCUUGCAGAUCAUCUUCUAGCUAUGCAUAUGCUGGAUGGUUAGUUUCAGGUACUGUUAGCAGGCUCUGGAGGAUUACCUAUGGGCGUUAUUGGAACUGAGGUAAAUAGGUUUCCAUCUUAUUAGGUUCAGCUCAAAUCACAUCUUUUUAGUUUCAUGGACAUAGACCUGCCAACCUUUUGAAUUGUCAUAUUAAUUCUGCUUGGCACUGCUGGAACUCAAGUAAAUACUUAGUGAGUGUCCUGGACAUAGAGCUGACAGCCUUUUGAGUUGCCAUAUUAAUUCUGCUUGAGAAGCCUAUAGAGAAUUGUUUUCAGACAAUUCAAUUCCAAGGAUUGAUUUUAUUGGAAGGGUUGUGCUGUAGGCCACCAGAGAAUAACUGCUCCUUAUGCUUCUUGUUUUAUAAAUAUAGGCAAUGGAAACUUAUAGGAAGUGAAUUUAUAUGUUGUUGUGCCUACAACGAAGAUUUAUCUGUAAAACUAUGACUUUGCCAUGCUAUAAUUUGAAGUGUGUUUUUUAAAACAAAUCUCUAAUGUUUCAGGUUGCCAAAGAGGCAUCUGCAAUUGAUGAAGAAAGAUCUAUUUACAACAGCAUCAAAGCUUUCAUAAGGUUUGUGCUCUGAGCGCUUGUUUUAAUUAUCCUUCACACUUUGUAGCUAUCUGAACAUACACGUUCUCAUUAAAAUAUAAAGGUCUUCAAAUGUUCUUUUCGUAGCAAUUUUGCAAUGUUCAUGAUAUUUGAUUGGAUUCUGGUAGCUACAAUUCGCUAAUUAGUUUUGCCUAUUAUUGGAGAUUUUUAUGUUCAGUUAAACUUCCUGCUCAUCGAGUUAACUGCUGAGAUAAAAAAAACAUGGUGUCGGAUCUUCUUUGCCCCAAUUCACUGUCUAUUUUGAUAGCUACAUUCGCUAAUUAGUUUUGCCUAUUAUUGGAGAUUUUCUGUUUAAUUAAACUUCCUGCUCAUCAAGUUAGCUGGAGCUCAAAACCAUAGUGUCGGGUAAGAUAGCCGGGAUUGGACCACUUUGUCUUCAUCCCUCAGUCUAACCCAUUUUAUGUACACACCAUUCAUUUGGAUUGCAUGAUUCUGUUGGGAAGAAAACAUGGCAAAUCAUUCAUGAACUUCAUGCCUUACAUUUCAGGUUUGGGAAUCGCUGGUUCAUCAGGCAAGAGCAAACAACAUUGACAAUCUUUGCAGAUACAAUUCGGUUAGCAUCCCUUCAUAGCACAGCUUUUUAAGUAACUGUUUCUGCAGUCCGUAUACUUGAGUUGGUUUUCAAGUGAAUGUGGAUGUGGUCUGUAGCCCUGACCUGUUUCCUAUGAUAAAAUGUAGUAAAUGGAGAGCACACAAAAAAAGGUGCCUGAAAUUUUUUCCCUCCCUUCGGCUAAAAGUUUCUUCCUAGAAUAAAUGGCAAGUAUGUUUCCUUUUCUUUUCAGAGCUACUGUGAAAUAUUGAGUUACAAGUGAUGUUUCAUUCUUUAUUACUAAGCUUGUAGACUGCUUCCUAAGAAUGAUCCCCACCAGAGAGAAAAAGGCAGAUCAAUAAUCUAACAAUGGCUGGGAAAAGCUUGAUUACAUGACCAGGUUGUGGAUACUAAUAGAAUAAUGCAAAAAAAAUUCCAGCUUUUUUUUCAUUUGAUUAGUGACAUAAUCUAAUGAGGACGGAUGUACUAAAACCGUCUUCAGAUUUUGCAGGCUUUUAGAGGAAAUUGAAGUUGUAGAGAUAAAGUACAUACUCCGUAAGGAUGAGUACAGAAAUUGGUGCUCUUGUUAUAGUCUCGAUAGAUUUCAGGUUUGUUAUAGCCUCUUCUUUGGUACAUAGUUAUAGUUCUAGAAUUGGUGCUCUUGCCAUUUCCUGAAUAGGUUUCAGGUUUUACAUGUUCUCCAAAUUUUGGUUCCGCAAUAUAUAUUUGACCGUGACUCAUGGACACAAAAGAAAGAAUACAAGAUGUCAUUUUGGGACUGCCGUCAACACUCUUACGGUGUAACUGGUCAGCACAACACGCCAAAGAAGCGGUUGACUGAGCCAGCCCGGGUUCGAAUCAUGACAUCAUCUUCUUAAGACGAAAAUCACCCCCUGGUCGAGUUUUUUUUAGUUUUUUUUUUUUGGACUGCCAAAGUGUUCAGUGAGUAAAUUUUUCUUUCAGCUAUUGUGACAGGGCACUCCUGCACUUGUGCAGGCAGUGUUGUUUGCUGCUGCUGCUCCAUCUAGCAUAUGU
This 2222-nucleotide long non-coding RNA is filed under the name Sorghum bicolor (sorghum). RNAcentral's name for it is "long non-coding RNA (SBIC_LNC005733)". Lineage: Eukaryota; Viridiplantae; Streptophyta; Magnoliopsida; Poales; Poaceae. The record is from RNAcentral.